Molecule: ribosomal RNA, 388 nt
Filed under: uncultured bacterium
Lineage: Bacteria
Description: bacterial SSU rRNA
Rfam family: Bacterial small subunit ribosomal RNA
Source: RNAcentral
GAUGAACGCUAGCGGCAGGCUUAAUACAUGCAAGUCGAGCGGUAAGGCCCUCUCGGGGGUACACGAGCGGCAAACGGGUGAGUAACACGUGGGUGACCUGCCCUCAGCUCUGGGAUAAGCCUGGGAAACCGGGUCUAAUACUGGAUAUGACUCCAUGACGCAUGUUGUGGGGUGGAAAGCCUUGUGCGGCUGAGGAUGGGCCCGCGGCCUAUCAGCUUGUUGGUGGGGNGAUGGCCUACCAAGGCGACGACGGGUAGCCGGCCUGAGAGGGCGACCGGCCACACUGGGACUGAGACACGGCCCAGACUCCUACGGGAGGCAGCAGUGGGGAAUCUUGCGCAAUGGGCGAAAGCCUGACGCAGCGACGCCGCGCGAGGGAUGACGGCCU